UAACACGUAGGUAACCUGCCCAUGUGCCCGGGAUAACUUCUGGAAACGGAUGCUAAAACCGGAUAGGUAGCAGACAAGCAUUUGACUGCUAUUAAAGUGGCCUUGGCCAUGAACAUGGAUGGACCUGCGGUGCAUUAGCUAGUUGGUGAGGUAACGACCCACCAAGGCGACGAUGCAUAGCCGGCCUGAGAGGGCGGACGGCCACAUUGGGACUGAGACACGGCCCAAACUCCUACGGGAGGCAGCAGUAGGGAAUUUUCGUCAAUGGGGGGAACCCUGAACGAGCAAUGCCGCGUGAGUGAGGAAGGUCUUCGGAUCGUAAAGCUCUGUUGUAAGAGAAAGACGGCACUCAUAGGGAAUGAUGAGUGAGUGAUGGUAUCUUACCAGAAAGUCACGGCUAACUACGUGCCAGCAGCCGCGGUAAUACGUAGGUGGCGAGCGUUAUCCGGAAUGAUUGGGCGUAAAGGGUGCGUAGGUGGCAGAUCAAGUCUGGAGUAAAAGGUAUGGGCUCAACCCGUACUGGCUCUGGAAACUGAUCAGCUAGAGAACAGAAGAGGACGGCGGAACUCCAUGUGUAGCGGUAAAAUGCGUAGAUAUAUGGAAGAACACCGGUGGCGAAGGCGGCCGUCUGGUCUGGAUUCUGACACUGAAGCACGAAAGCGUGGGGAGCAAAUAGGAUUAGAUACCCUAGUAGUCCACGCCGUAAACGAUGAGAACUAGGUGU
This 724-nucleotide ribosomal RNA is filed under the name uncultured bacterium. RNAcentral describes it as "bacterial SSU rRNA". It matches the Rfam family "Bacterial small subunit ribosomal RNA", at positions 111 to 823 of the family's 1533-position model. The record is from RNAcentral.